UACGUAGGGUGCGAGCGUUAAUCGGAAUUACUGGGCGUAAAGCGUGCGCAGGCGGCUUCGCAAGUCAGGCGUGAAAUCCCCGGGCUUAACCUGGGAAUGGCGUCUGAAACUACGGAGCUGGAGUGCGGCAGAGGGGGGUGGAAUUCCACGUGUAGCAGUGAAAUGCGUAGAUAUGUGGAGGAACACCGAUGGCGAAGGCAGCCCCCUGGGCCAGCACUGACGCUCAUGCACGAAAGCGUGGGGAGCAAACAGG
This 253-nucleotide ribosomal RNA is filed under the name uncultured bacterium. RNAcentral describes it as "partial 16S ribosomal RNA". It matches the Rfam family "Bacterial small subunit ribosomal RNA", at positions 524 to 776 of the family's 1533-position model. The record is from RNAcentral.